GACGAACGCUGGCGGCGUGCUUAACACAUGCAAGUUGAACGGAAAGGCCCUGCUUUUGUGGGGUGCUCGAGUGGCGAACGGGUGAGUAACACGUGAGUAACCUGCCCUUGACUUUGGGAUAACUUCAGGAAACUGGGGCUAAUACCGGAUAGGAGCUCCUGCUGCAUGGUGGGGGUUGGAAAGUUUCGGCGGUUGGGAUGGACUCGCGGCUUAUCAGCUUGUUGGUGGGGUAGUGGCUUACCAAGGCUUUGACGGGUAGCCGGCCUGAGUGGGUGACCGGCCACAUUGGGACUGAGAUACGGCCCAGACUCCUACGGGAGGCAGCAGUGGGGAAUAUUGCACAAUGGGCGGAAGCCUGAUGCAGCAACGCCGCGUGCGGGAUGACGGCCUUCGGGUUGUAAACCGCUUUCGCCUGUGACGAAGCGUGAGUGACGGUAAUGGGUAAAGAAGCACCGGCUAACUACGUG
This 467-nucleotide ribosomal RNA is filed under the name uncultured bacterium. RNAcentral describes it as "partial 16S ribosomal RNA". It matches the Rfam family "Bacterial small subunit ribosomal RNA", at positions 28 to 507 of the family's 1533-position model. The record is from RNAcentral.